GCCUCCUUAUCUAUUUCUCCUCAUCCUCCUUCAAGUUCGUCCAUGAGUCCUCUCCCUCCAUGUUGACUCCCUCCACCCUUUUUUUUUCUAGCUAGCAACCCCUCCGUCACCUUUUCCUCCAUCCUCAUCUACUUCUUCUUCUCAUCCUCCUUCAAGACUGCGUACAAAACCUACUUAUCUAUGGUGGCUCCCUCCACCUUUAUCCCUUUCUCAUUAACGAUCCCUCCUCCCUAGACAUGGGCACCGAGCUGGGCCACCCAUGACACGGCCUAACCCAAUAUGAAUUAGAUCAUACCAGAUAUGACCUACUUACUAC
This 316-nucleotide long non-coding RNA is filed under the name Elaeis guineensis (African oil palm). RNAcentral's name for it is "long non-coding RNA (EGUI_LNC033872)". Lineage: Eukaryota; Viridiplantae; Streptophyta; Magnoliopsida; Arecales; Arecaceae. The record is from RNAcentral.